Long non-coding RNA from Eriocheir sinensis (Chinese mitten crab), 1085 nucleotides. RefSeq lists it as uncharacterized. The record is from RefSeq and is a predicted model, not a curated record. Lineage: Eukaryota; Metazoa; Arthropoda; Malacostraca; Decapoda; Varunidae. The transcript is spliced from 3 exons.
AGCUGGGGAGCGUCAGGGGCCCAAGGCAUUGCUGGCGAGCGUCGCAGGGCUCAGGGCUCCGGCAGGGCGCCUCGGCUCCCCCGGAGCGUCCACGGAGGUGUCGGAGAUCCCGAGGGUCCGGGGGUUGGGGGGGCGUGAAGUGGCAGCAAGACAUGCAGUUACUGACCUCUUAUUAGCCAGACGACGCGUUAAUGACACGUUCCAAUGGAAGGUUCGACGCAUGGGGAGGUACAAUUCCCCUAAGCAAGGCAAGUGUCAUGCCAACUACGAUAAAAAACGAAAAAUACACAAAAAAAAUACAAAAACAAAAAAUCAAAAAAAAAUUGUCUUGUUUUGCUUUGUUUAAAGCGUCUUGUAUGUUGGUAUGGCGGGUCUUCUCUGGGGAGAAGGAGACUAACGCGUUCCAACAUACAAAACCAGGAAAAGACGACAUGGAAACACCGAGAGAAGGAGGGGAAAGAAGGGAACACCAGAAGAAGGAAAAUGAAGAGAAGUAACACUAGAAGAAGGCAUAUGAAGUAACACAAGAAGAAGGUAUUGAAAAGAGUAACACAGAAGAAGGUAUUGAAAAGAGUAACACAGAAGAAGGUAUUGAAAAGAGUAACACAGAAGAAGGUAUUGAAAAGAGUAACACAGAAGAAGGUAUUGAAAAGAGUUACACAGAAGAAGGUAUUGAAAAGAGUAACACAGAAGAAGGUAUUGAAAAGAGUAACACAGAAGAAGGUAUUGAAAAGAGUUACACAGAAGAAGGUAUUGAAAAGAGUAACACAGAAGAAGGUAUUGAAAAGAGUAACACAGAAGAAGGUAUUGAAAAGAGUAACACAAGAAGAAGGAAUUUGAAGAUAAAUAACACAAGAAGAAGAAAUGUGAAGUAACACCAGAAGGAAAAUGCAGAGAAGUAACACUAGAAAAAUGAAAAUGGAAAUGAAAAGAAUCAUCCACCUUUCGGCCCAAACCAACAUCACAAAAUUAUGGGCGAGUCUCUUCUGGGAGGAAAGCGGCUCGUUCAGACCCAGGAACACCAGAAAGGAUGAAAGAAACAUCAAGAAAAGGAAAACAGAAAAGUCAUCCACCUUUCGGCCCCU